UACGUAGGGUGCAAGCGUUAAUCGGAAUUACUGGGCGUAAAGCGUGCGCAGGCGGCUUUGCAAGACAGAUGUGGAAUCCCCGGGCUUAACCUGGGAACUGCAUUUGUGACUGCAAGGCUAGAGUACGGUAGAGGGGGAUGGAAUUCCGCGUGUAGCAGUGAAAUGCGUAGAUAUGCGGAGGAACACCGAUGGCGAAGGCAAUCCCCUGGACCUGUACUGACGCUCAUGCACGAAAGCGUGGGGAGCAAACAGG
RNAcentral lists this ribosomal RNA (253 nucleotides) under uncultured bacterium. RNAcentral describes it as "partial 16S ribosomal RNA". It matches the Rfam family "Bacterial small subunit ribosomal RNA", at positions 524 to 776 of the family's 1533-position model. The record is from RNAcentral.